AGGAAACGCAACAAUAAAUAUCUGACCUUUGACUUGGUAAACACAAUUAGAACUGUAACUACAUUUUGUACCAUAUCGGUUACUUCGGCAAGGCUCGCAAGGCCACCAUAGCCCGACGACAUAUAACGUAAAGGAUAUAUAUACCGCAUAGCGAUAUUCUGUUCAUUCUGAAAACAUUGUGGUCAAAGGGUAAAGCGCGCACGUUAUAUUGUUGAAGACCGUACUGUUGCCUAUAUUGGCUUACAUCCACUUCAUUUGAACUUUUGUGAAUAAUUGUCUCAUUGUCAAUCAUACCACAUCUCCUUUUUUUGGAUAAGGAAAGAAUGAAUUAUGAUUGAAGGGAAUUGAAUAAAUCCAAAUCUCGAUAUAUUGAAAUGUCCAAAAAGACGUAUCCAUGGACAUGUUAUCGGUUGACGUAGCAGUUGUCCCUUCAUCACCAAACCUGACAAAUAUCUCGGAUACGACAUAUUCAGAUUAUCAUACAAAAAACAACAGCAAAACAAUUCAAUUAAGGCCGUUCGAAUUUGAAGUACAAUUACUUACGGACUACUGUUGAGCUUAUUUGGAUUCAGAACUGCUUAGGUGAAAGUUAAGCGAAGACUCUUUGAAUGUGAACUGAUUAUGAAGAGUUAAAAAGGAACUUUUUGUCCAAAUUCAGGCCUUUCUGUUCUGCGCAAAAUUGCUGGGGUUUCUAAGUUUUACAUCCGAGAUGUGUAAUACUGGUUUCAGUGGCAUUUGCUGUAGCGUAUUACUCACUUUUUAUUGGAAAAAGAAGCCAGAGCACUCUUAGAGAAAAAAGUAAAAUAGCAAUCAAAAAGAACUCCAAUGAUAAUUCAAAAUGGAAAGUCUUUUAUCAAAUGGCAAAAUAAAAACUCAAACACAUCAAACGAACGGAGAAAAAAACUGUCAUAUUCCUGACUCUGUACAGGAAUUUCCUUAUGUAGAAAAUGGUGGAUUAAACCUGGUUUUAUAGCUAGCCAAACCUUUCACUUGUAUGACAGCUGCAUAGAAUUCCAUUAUAGUGACAACAAUGUGUGAGCAAAACAAACAGACAUAAUAGAUAAAAAUGUCAAAUGUUGGGGUACAGCAGUCAAUAUUGUGUUAUUAUAUGAAUAACUACAAAAAAUAACUAUUUUAACAUAGAAAAACCAAUUGAAAAAAAGAGUUUUAAGGGUAACCUUCCGACCAGGUCUCUUAAACAGUGGUUUCACUACAUAAUUUAAGACAUCCAGGAGAUGCUUUAACUCUUGAUGUAUUUGGUCUCAUAUCGUUAUUCAUCCUAUUCGAUUGUUUUAACCCCGCACUUGUUCACAAAAGAUAUCUUUACGCUAAUCUUAUGAUAUUUUCUGACGAAUUUAGCAUGCGGCUUAGAUGAUCUUAAAUUUUCCAAUUACUGCUUUGCAAUGAUGACGAAAUUUAAAUUGAUAAGAUAUUUUUUAUCCGAAGAUUUAAACGACAAGAUAACAUCAAGUUAACCUAACGGAAUCAUUGAAAAAAGAUUGCAAACAAAAUAUUCAAAAAGUCUAAAAUAGUUAAAAAGUUAUUUAAAAAAAAAAUAGUGAAGUUAGUUGAUUCUCAAUGUUUAAAUGCAGUUAGCAUGCAGAUUUAUUUCAGUAACAUUGUUUUUUCCCAGGUAAUAACAACCCUGUUAUAAGUAUUAAACAAAUGCUGUGACAUCAGUUUAUGUAUUAAAAGUGUUUUCAUAUUCACUUCCUUGAUCACAUCAUUUAUCUAAAUUAAAUACUUUUUGUUGAAUAUCCUUACGGAUGAUUAAUGUAUGCUAUAGUAUUACGACAAAAUGUCGUGUUACAAGAUAACAUACAUUAAAUUGACGUAGAUAAUGGUAAUGCAAUACGGGUUAAAUGUUUUAAACUUAUUUCAAACGGAUCUCAAAUGACAUCACUUUUCGCAGGUGAUUUAUUUUUAACCCUAAUUUACGAUUAAUAUAUA
Mytilus californianus (California mussel) is the source of this 1950-nucleotide long non-coding RNA. RefSeq lists it as uncharacterized. The transcript has 3 exons. Lineage: Eukaryota; Metazoa; Mollusca; Bivalvia; Mytilida; Mytilidae. The record is from RefSeq and is a predicted model, not a curated record.